CUGGAAGCUAAACUGAAGGAAGAGUGGGCUGUCUGACGAUUUGGUGAUGACUCUUGCUCAGAAGGGAGGAAUGGUUCAAUUGAACUGUUAGCACUGUGAAGUAUCCUGACCAGACAGGACCAUGAGGUGCAGAGCCUGAAUGUGUGGCAGCUACACACCAGCCCUGGUUGAAGUCAGUGGGAAUACUGACCCUCCUUCCGGAAGAAGCCACGGAAGCUGUCAACCAGUGGACAGCUUUUCGUUCUCAGCAAGGUGCAGGCUGUCUUUCUGGUCGGCGACAUGGUGGAGACACCUUCAGAGCUGCAUAUGACCCAUGAUUGGUGGAUGUGAAUCGUGACUAGAUUUUGACGCCUUUUACAGUUCAUGCAAGC
RNAcentral lists this long non-coding RNA (371 nucleotides) under Cavia porcellus (domestic guinea pig). Its description in RNAcentral is "lncRNA (ENSCPOG00000033469.1)". The record is from RNAcentral. Lineage: Eukaryota; Metazoa; Chordata; Mammalia; Rodentia; Caviidae.